AUUGAACGCUGGCGGCGGCUUAACACAUGCAAGUCGAACGGUAACAUAAAGAAGCUUGCUUCUUUGAUGACGAGUGGCGGACGGGUGAGUAAUGCUUGGGAAUCUAGCUUAUGGAGGGGGAUAACUACGGGAAACUGUAGCUAAUACCGCGUAGAAUCGAGAGAUGAAAGUGUGGGACCUUCGGGCCACAUGCCAUAGGAUGAGCCCAAGUGGGAUUAGGUAGUUGGUGAGGUAAAGGCUCACCAAGCCGACGAUCUCUAGCUGGUCUGAGAGGAUGACCAGCCACACUGGGACUGAGACACGGCCCAGACUCCUACGGGAGGCAGCAGUGGGGAAUAUUGCGCAAUGGGGGCAACCCUGACGCAGCCAUGCCGCGUGAAUGAAGAAGGCCUUCGGGUUGUAAAGUUCUUUCGGUAGCGAGGAAGGCAUUUAGUUUAAUAGACUAGGUGAUUGACGUUAACUACAGAAGAAGCACCGGCUAACUCCGUGCCAGCAGCCGCGGUAAUACGGAGGGUGCGAGCGUUAAUCGGAAUAACUGGGCGUAAAGGGCACGCAGGCGGUGACUUAAGUGAGGUGUGAAAGCCCCGGGCUUAACCUGGGAAUUGCAUUUCAUACUGGGUCGCUAGAGUACUUUAGGGAGGGGUAGAAUUCCACGUGUAGCGGUGAAAUGCGUAGAGAUGUGGAGGAAUACCGAAAGCGAAGGCAGCCCCUUGUGAAUGUACUGACGCUCAUGUGCGAAAGCGUGGGGAACAGACAGG
Molecule: ribosomal RNA, 758 nt
Filed under: Parahaemophilus parainfluenzae
Lineage: Bacteria; Pseudomonadati; Pseudomonadota; Gammaproteobacteria; Pasteurellales; Pasteurellaceae
Description: Haemophilus parainfluenzae bacterial SSU rRNA
Rfam family: Bacterial small subunit ribosomal RNA
Source: RNAcentral